This 1848-nucleotide ribosomal RNA is filed under the name human gut metagenome. RNAcentral's name for it is "bacterial LSU rRNA". It matches the Rfam family "Bacterial large subunit ribosomal RNA", at positions 1069 to 2925 of the family's 2925-position model. The record is from RNAcentral.
AAGGAUGUGGGGAUGCACAGACAACUAGGAGGUUGGCUCAGAAGCAGCCAUCCUUCAAAGAGUGCGUAACAGCUCACUAGUCGAGUGACCCUGCGCCGAAAAUGUACCGGGGCUAAGCAUACUACCGAAGCUGCGGAUUCAACUUCAGAGUUGAGUGGUAGGGGAGCGUUGCAUGCACGUAGAAGCCGUACCGUAAGGAGCGGUGGAGAGCAUGGAAGAGAGAAUGCCGGUGUGAGUAGCGAGAUGUAGGUGAGAAUCCUACACACCGAUAGCCCAAGGAUUCCAGGGGAAGGUUCGUCCGCCCUGGGUAAGUCGGGACCUAACGCGAGGCCGAAAGGCGUAGUGGAUGGAAAACAGGCAGAUAUUCCUGUACCCGCGAUGGAAAUGAAGGAAUGACGGAGAAGGCUAGUGUGAGCCACUGAACGGAUUGUGGUCGAAGCAUAUAGCAGGCUGACAGUGAAAUGCGUCAGCGGGAUGUAAGAUGUGACAGGUAAGGGAACGUCCUCGGACAAGUACUGAAGCACAUGAUGCCAGCUUCCAAGAAAAGUUUCUAGUGAUAAUUCCAUAGCGGCCCGUACCAAAACCGACACAGGUGGGCAAGGAGAGAAUCCUGAGGUGAGCGAGAGAACUGUUGCCAAGGAACUCGGCAAAAUGACUCCGUAAGUUAGCGAUAAGGAGUGCUCUUGUAAAAGAGAGCCGCAGUGAAGAGGCCCAAGCGACUGUUUAACUAAAACACAGCUCUCUGCAAAGUCGCAAGACGAAGUAUAGGGGGUGACGCCUGCCCGGUGCUGGAAGGUUAAGAGGAUUUGUCAUCCGCAAGGAGAAGCAAUGAAUUGAAGCCCCAGUGAACGGCGGCCGUAACUAUAACGGUCCUAAGGUAGCGAAAUUCCUUGUCAGGUAAGUUCUGACCCGCACGAAAGGCGUAACGAUUUGGGCGCUGUCUCGGCAGCAGACUCGGUGAAAUCUUAGUACCUGUGAAAAUGCAGGUUACCCGCAACUAGACGGAAAGACCCCAUGGAGCUUUACUGUAGCCUGAUAUUGAAUUUUGAUCAAAGAUGUACAGGAUAGGUGGGAGGCGAAGAGACGUGUACGCCAGUAUACGAGGAGCCGCUGUUGGGAUACCACUCUUGUUUGAUUGAAGUUCUAACCUGCACCCAUGAACUGGGUGAGGGACCGUGUCAGGUGGGCAGUUUGACUGGGGCGGUCGCCUCCUAAAGAGUAACGGAGGCGCCCAAAGGUACGCUCAGAUUGGAUGGAAAUCAAUCGACGAGUGCAAAUGCAGAAGCGUGCUUGACUGUGAGACAAACAAGUCGAACAGGGACGAAAGUCGGGAUUAGUGAUCCGGCGGUGCCGAAUGGAAGGGCCGUCGCUCAACGGAUAAAAGCUACCCUGGGGAUAACAGGCUGAUCUCGCCCAAGAGUUCACAUCGACGGCGAGGUUUGGCACCUCGAUGUCGGCUCAUCGCAUCCUGGAGCUGAAUUCGGUUCCAAGGGUUGGGCUGUCCGCCCAUUAAAGCGGUACGCGAGCUGGGUUCAGAACGUCGUGAGACAGUUCGGUCCCUAUCUGUUGUGGGCGUUGGAGAUCUGAGGAGAGCUGUCCUUAGUACGAGAGGACCGGGAUGGACCUACCGCUGGUGCACCAGUUGUUCCGCCAGGAGCAUAGCUGGGUAGCUAAGUAGGGAAGGGAUAAGCGCUGAAAGCAUCUAAGCGCGAAGCCUACUCCAAGAUGAGAUCUCCCAUUCGUAUAACGAAGUAAGACCCCUUGAAGACGACGAGGUGGAUAGGUCAGAGAUGGAAGUGUAGCGAUACAUGGAGUUGACUGAUACUAAUAGGUCGAGGACUUAAUCAC